CUGUCGUCAGCUCGUGUUGUGAAAUGUUGGGUUAAGUCCCGCAACGAGCGCAACCCUUAUCCUUUGUUGCCAGCGGUUAGGCCGGGAACUCAAAGGAGACUGCCAGUGAUAAACUGGAGGAAGGUGGGGAUGACGUCAAGUCAUCAUGGCCCUUACGAGUAGGGCUACACACGUGCUACAAUGGCGCAUACAAAGAGAAGCGACCUCGCGAGAGCAAGCGGACCUCAUAAAGUGCGUCGUAGUCCGGAUUGGAGUCUGCAACUCGACUCCAUGAAGUCGGAAUCGCUAGUAAUCGUGUC
Molecule: ribosomal RNA, 299 nt
Filed under: uncultured bacterium
Lineage: Bacteria
Description: partial 16S ribosomal RNA
Rfam family: Bacterial small subunit ribosomal RNA
Source: RNAcentral